AUGGAGCACCUCUGUCCCCACUCCCCGAUUUUGAACUCCUGCUCCACCAGCUCCGGGAAUGGAGUUGUGGAGGGGAGGAAAUCCGAACAGGCCUUUCAUUUUGUAGCUGGUAUCAUAAGAAACCUGCUGAUAGCAUACAAUACACCAGCACCCUCGGUCAAAAGUGAAGGCCUGCCUGUGUAUGCAUGUAAAGCAUUUUUUUCCGAUAAAGGACGAUUUUAUUAUCUCAAAAUGUAG
RNAcentral lists this ribosomal RNA (237 nucleotides) under Triticum aestivum (bread wheat). Its description in RNAcentral is "partial small subunit ribosomal RNA". Lineage: Eukaryota; Viridiplantae; Streptophyta; Magnoliopsida; Poales; Poaceae. The record is from RNAcentral.